GUAGAAACCAUUAAUGUACCAACAAAAAAAAAGGUAGAAACCAUUCCCUGUACCUUCGAAGACUCCGCAAUGGAUUUCCACUAAGCAGAAGUUUCCUCAAGGUAGUCAUCUUGCCUACACAAGAUACAACACUAAGAGAAUUUAAGAUGCACUAUCACUCCCUAACUACAUGCAAGGUAUAAAACAUAUAAUAACAGGACAGAGAGCUCGACCCUUCCAGGUAAUGGUGUCCAUCUACUACAUGAAAUAGCCAUAAACAUUGACCGAUGAGUCUUUGACACAUUGACAUUUAUAUUUGACACCUAAAGAGACCAUAAAAUUUGAUCAGGGUGCAGAAUGAACAACUCCCUUGGUAACUCUGAAUCCCAGGGAAUGUUGCACUGCUUUUACAAUAUUAUUACUUAGCGGUAUCUUUGUAAUUCUGUGAGAUGCUGAAAUUUAAUAUAAAGAGGAGGUGACCACUAAUUGAGGAUACUCCUUUAGCUGCGAACAUACAAAAUCAAUACACAAUGGAACGGAUUAUCUACUGUUAAGGGAGAAGAGAACAAAAGCAUCCGAAGCAAAAAUGGUAUAUUGUUUAUUACCUCCCACCAUUUAUCAUCAGUGCCACCGAUUCCUUCGAGAUUUCGAUAAACUUCAUCGGGAAUUUCACUGAAAGUGAAAGAAUAUGAAGAAAGCAAUGUGUGAAUGAGUGAAGAG
This is a long non-coding RNA of Trifolium pratense (red clover), 699 nucleotides long. RefSeq lists it as uncharacterized. The record is from RefSeq and is a predicted model, not a curated record. NCBI's taxonomy places the organism in Eukaryota, Viridiplantae, Streptophyta, Magnoliopsida, Fabales, Fabaceae. The transcript is spliced from 6 exons.